GAUGAACGCUGGCGGCGUGCCUAAUACAUGCAAGUCGAGCGAACAGACGAGGAGCUUGCUCCUCUGACGUUAGCGGCGGACGGGUGAGUAACACGUGGAUAACCUACCUAUAAGACUGGGAUAACUUCGGGAAACCGGAGCUAAUACCGGAUAAUAUAUUGAACCGCAUGGUUCAAUAGUGAAAGACGGUUUUGCUGUCACUUAUAGAUUGAUCCGCGCCGCAUUAGCUAGUUGGUAAGGUAACGGCUUACCAAGGCAACGAUGCGUAGCCGACCUGAGAGGGUGAUCGGCCACACUGGAACUGAGACACGGUCCAGACUCCUACGGGAGGAAGCAGUAGGGAAUCUUCCGCAAUGGGCGAAAGCCUGACGGAGCAACGCCGCGUGAGUGAUGAAGGUCUUCGGAUCGUAAAACUCUGUUAUUAGGGAAGAACAAAUGUGUAAGUAACUAUGCACGUCUUGACGGUACCUAAUCAGAAAGCCACGGCUAACUACGUG
This 497-nucleotide ribosomal RNA is filed under the name uncultured bacterium. RNAcentral describes it as "partial 16S ribosomal RNA". It matches the Rfam family "Bacterial small subunit ribosomal RNA", at positions 28 to 507 of the family's 1533-position model. The record is from RNAcentral.